Molecule: long non-coding RNA, 1212 nt
Organism: Humulus lupulus (European hop)
Lineage: Eukaryota; Viridiplantae; Streptophyta; Magnoliopsida; Rosales; Cannabaceae
Exons: 4
Source: RefSeq, a predicted model, not a curated record
GAAAAAAAGCUGUGUUUGAAAUUCAAGUCAUGUUGCUUAUGGAAAGCUUAUUGAAUGCCUUGGUUCCUUUUAUUUGUAUUUUUUUGGCCAAGAUUAAAGAUGAAUGCAAAGAUGAAUUUCAUCAAUAUUUGAAACCAUACUUUUUUGUAAGGACAGGAUGAAGAGUGAUGAUUGUUACUCAAAAAUUAAUACUCAAUUUCAAUGUAGUCAUGGUUUAAGGUACGCAAAGAUUGACAAAUUUGUGGGAUCCUCCAAAUCAAGGCAUUUGUUGCUGAACCAGAAAGAAAUUUCAGAAUGAUUUAUUCGAUAUUGGUCUCACUCGCUAUGAGGCAGAGCACCAAAGUGGCAUUCUUCUCAGCAUAUUCAACGAUCUUGCGCUGAUCGUUAUUCAUAAUAGAAUAAUGAUUUAUCUACUCACAUAAAGAAGCAUGGUCGAAGACAUGCUCCUGAUGGUAUGGUAGAAGAAAAAUGGAAGAAGGCGAUCGAGUAUUUUGAUCGGCCUAAAGUGAAGAGGUGCUCUUAGAUUAAUGCUGCGAAUCGAGCCAAACAAAAAAAAAAUAGCUUCCAGGGUUCGCAGUCUACUCCAGCUAUUUGUUAUAAGAUGGUAUUUUUUAUUUUGUUAACUUUAAAAAAAUUUCAUAUAUUUUUAUCAACUUUUUCAAUUUUUUUGUAUUUUAGAGCGAUAUACAAACUGGUCAUCUCUCAGGCGUUCUAGAAAACUUGGAUGGAUACAAAAUAUUAAGAAGGGAGAGGUUGGGUCAGUCAAGUAGUGCGUGAUAACUAUGAAAAGUUGAUGAAGGUACGUCACACUCAAUAGACACAAUCUUCUAUGACCACCUCUAGUGUGAGUACUGCCACAAUAGAGAAGGACGACAUCGCCCUUGUUGAGACAGCCUUUGGAUGCCGUCGGGGCCAUCAGAUAGGACUUGGUCGCAGGAUUCGCUCGAGGGUGGAACGUGAAGUGACUGACACACUUCCACCACUGUCACCGUCCCCUAUUGCACAAGAGAUGCGGGAUGUGGUCCGGCGUCUCCGAAUCAUUGAGGAGUUAAUGGCUAGGCUUGGUGGAGCCUCCGGAUCUGGAUCUUCUCAGCCAUGUGAUGGUCAGGAUCAAACAACUCCUAGUCAAUAAGAUUACUUUAUGUAUUUUGACUGUUGGAGAACAUUAUUUAUGACUUUAUACUUUAUGUAAUUUGACUUUAGGACAAUAUU